GAUGAACGCUGGCGGCGUGCUUAACACAUGCAAGUCGAACGGAAAGGCCACAGCUUGCUGUGGUACUCGAGUGGCGAACGGGUGAGUAACACGUGGGUGAUCUGCCCUGUACUUCGGGAUAAGCUUGGGAAACUGGGUCUAAUACCGGAUAGGAAUCACAUGUGGGUGUGUGGUUGGAAAGCUUUUGCGGUAUGGGAUGAGCUCGCGGCCUAUCAGCUUGUUGGUGGGGUAAUGGCCUACCAAGGCGUCGACGGGUAGCCGGCCUGAGAGGGUGUACGGCCACAUUGGGACUGAGAUACGGCCCAGACUCCUACGGGAGGCAGCAGUGGGGAAUAUUGCACAAUGGGCGCAAGCCUGAUGCGGCGACGCCGCGUGGGGGAUGACGGCCUUCGGGUUGUAAACUCCUUUCGUCAGGGACGAAGCGAAAGUGACGGUACCUGGAUAAGAAGCACCGGCUAACUACGU
RNAcentral lists this ribosomal RNA (465 nucleotides) under uncultured bacterium. RNAcentral's name for it is "partial 16S ribosomal RNA". It matches the Rfam family "Bacterial small subunit ribosomal RNA", at positions 28 to 506 of the family's 1533-position model. The record is from RNAcentral.